This 1488-nucleotide ribosomal RNA is filed under the name metagenome. RNAcentral's name for it is "bacterial LSU rRNA". It matches the Rfam family "Bacterial large subunit ribosomal RNA", at positions 1428 to 2895 of the family's 2925-position model. The record is from RNAcentral.
GGUUAAUAUUCCUGUACUUGGUGUUACUGCGAAGGGGGGACGGAGAAGGCUAUGUUGGCCGGGCGACGGUUGUCCCGGUUUAAGCGUGUAGGCUGGUUUUCCAGGCAAAUCCGGAAAAUCAAGGCUGAGGCGUGAUGACGAGGCACUACGGUGCUGAAGCAACAAAUGCCCUGCUUCCAGGAAAAGCCUCUAAGCAUCAGGUAACAUCAAAUCGUACCCCAAACCGACACAGGUGGUCAGGUAGAGAAUACCAAGGCGCUUGAGAGAACUCGGGUGAAGGAACUAGGCAAAAUGGUGCCGUAACUUCGGGAGAAGGCACACUGAUAUGUAGGUGAAGCGACUUGCUCGUGGAGCUGAAAUCAGUCGAAGAUACCAGUUGGCUGCAACUGUUUAUUAAAAACACAGCACUGUGCAAACACGAAAGUGGACGUAUACGGUGUGACGCCUGCCCGGUGCCGGAAGGUUAAUUGAUGGGGUUAGCCGCAAGGCGAAGCUCUUGAUCGGAGCCCCGGUAAACGGCGGCCGUAACUAUAACGGUCCUAAGGUAGCGAAAUUCCUUGUCGGGUAAGUUCCGACCUGCACGAAUGGCGUAAUGAUGGCCAGGCUGUCUCCACCCGAGACUCAGUGAAAUUGAACUCGCUGUGAAGAUGCAGUGUACCCGCGGCAAGACGGAAAGACCCCGUGAACCUUUACUAUAGCUUGACACUGAACAUUGAGCCUUGAUGUGUAGGAUAGGUGGGAGGCUUUGAAGUGUGGACGCCAGUCUGCAUGGAGCCGACCUUGAAAUACCACCCUUUAAUGUUUGAUGUCCUAACGUUGACCCGUAAUCCGGGUUGCGGACAGUGUCUGGUGGGUAGUUUGACUGGGGCGGUCUCCUCCUAAAGAGUAACGGAGGAGCACGAAGGUUGGCUAAUCCUGGUCGGACAUCAGGAGGUUAGUGCAAUGGCAUAAGCCAGCUUGACUGCGAGCGUGACGGCGCGAGCAGGUGCGAAAGCAGGUCAUAGUGAUCCGGUGGUUCUGAAUGGAAGGGCCAUCGCUCAACGGAUAAAAGGUACUCCGGGGAUAACAGGCUGAUACCGCCCAAGAGUUCAUAUCGACGGCGGUGUUUGGCACCUCGAUGUCGGCUCAUCACAUCCUGGGGCUGAAGUAGGUCCCAAGGGUAUGGCUGUUCGCCAUUUAAAGUGGUACGCGAGCUGGGUUAGAACGUCGUGAGACAGUUCGGUCCCUAUCUGCCGUGGGCGCUGGAGAACUGAGGGGGGCUGCUCCUAGUACGAGAGGACCGGAGUGGACGCAUCACUGGUGUUCGGGUUGUCAUGCUAAUGGCACUGCCCGGUAGCUAAAUGCGGAAGAGAUAAGUGCUGAAAGCAUCUAAGCACGAAACUUGCCCCGAGAUGAGUUCUCCCUGACUCCUUGAGAGUCCUGAAGGAACGUUGAAGACGACGACGUUGAUAGGCCGGGUGUGUAAGCGCAGCGAUGCGUUGAGCUAAC